Molecule: unclassified non-coding RNA, 236 nt
Filed under: fungal sp.
Lineage: Eukaryota; Fungi
Description: partial internal transcribed spacer region
Rfam family: Eukaryotic small subunit ribosomal RNA (bases 1-46)
Source: RNAcentral
AAGUCGUAACAAGGUUUCCGUAGGUGAACCUGCGGAAGGAUCAUUACCAGGUCCCCGGCCCCCUCGCGGGGUCGACCUUCCCACCCGUGUCUAUCUUCUCUGUUGCUUUGGCGGGCCCGCGCCCGCCAAAGACCUAUCCAAACCCAACUGUUUUGUGACGUAUUUCUGAGUCCCUCGCACGCUCCGUCGUGCGUCCAAUAUCGUGAAAACCUUCAACAAUGGAUCUCUUGGUUCUG